Molecule: transfer RNA, 76 nt
Filed under: Mageeibacillus indolicus UPII9-5
Lineage: Bacteria; Bacillati; Bacillota; Clostridia; Eubacteriales; Oscillospiraceae
Also listed under: 2 other names
Description: tRNA-fMet (CAT) (tRNA-fMet-CAT-1-1)
Rfam family: tRNA
About the family: Transfer RNA (tRNA) molecules are approximately 80 nucleotides in length. Their secondary structure includes four short double-helical elements and three loops (D, anti-codon, and T loops).
Source: RNAcentral
CGCGGAGUGGAGCAGAUGGUAGCUUGUCGGGCUCAUAACCCGAAGGUCGGAGGUUCGAGUCCUUCCUCCGCAACCA